GCCUUCGUAGUGCAAUGGCCAGCACAUUCCGCGCGUAUUCCAGAGGUCCGAGGUUCGAGUCCCGGCAAGGGCA
Molecule: transfer RNA, 73 nt
Filed under: Stegodyphus mimosarum
Lineage: Eukaryota; Metazoa; Arthropoda; Arachnida; Araneae; Eresidae
Rfam family: tRNA
About the family: Transfer RNA (tRNA) molecules are approximately 80 nucleotides in length. Their secondary structure includes four short double-helical elements and three loops (D, anti-codon, and T loops). Further hydrogen bonds mediate the characteristic L-shaped molecular structure. tRNAs have two regions of fundamental functional importance: the anti-codon, which is responsible for specific mRNA codon recognition, and the 3' end, to which the tRNAs corresponding amino acid is attached (by aminoacyl-tRNA synthetases). tRNAs cope with the degeneracy of the genetic code in two manners: having more than one tRNA (with a specific anti-codon) for a particular amino acid; and 'wobble' base-pairing, i.e. permitting non-standard base-pairing at the 3rd anti-codon position.
Source: Rfam by way of RNAcentral